CAACAGAGUCUUAAACCCAAAUCUGCGACUCAGUUUUAUGCCUGCAAUGUUUUACUUAAUCUCUCAACCAAUUAAUGUUAGAGUAGCUAGUCAUCGUGAGAGCAGCCAACCACUGGUAUGCUUAUCUGAGCCUCUGGUCCUACCUUAUUGACGCUGGUUGACGUUUGCCUGGCGCUUCCACUUUGAAUAUGUUGGAGGAACAGAAGACACAGGCCAUUAAGUUACAAAAAUCUUAUUUUUGUUCUAUGUGCACUACGAUUAAUUGCUAGAGCAGGAAGAUAUUAGACAUUCCCAUCACCAACCCUGCCCUGCCUGUUGCCAAGAAGAAAGAAAAAUGGAAUAAGCACCCACCACCUCUAUUGACGCCCCCUGGUCUAGCCCCUGCAGCGUAGAAGCAAGCAUGGGUGGGGGAGCCCCAACCACUGGAAAGUGAUGUCAUGGCAACAGUAACCACAGUGGCGUACAUCAUUUCUGUUUCACAGCAGCAAACCAUGCGUGCUCCAGAGAGACCUCUCUUCUUCGGCGAAGAGACUGUGUGUGCUGUCCUGCCUGAUAAGACUGCAUGUGUCUUGAUAAGUGUGUGUACUGUCCUGUCACUACUAGAGGCCGUAAUGUCCUGAUAAGGGACUGUGUGCUGUCUCAAUAAGACUGCAUGCUGUCCUGUCAUGAUAGAGGGCAUUGGCCUGGAUUCAAUAAACAUUUGUCUUUAACUUUGA
Anguilla rostrata (American eel) is the source of this 716-nucleotide long non-coding RNA. RefSeq lists it as uncharacterized. The record is from RefSeq and is a predicted model, not a curated record. Lineage: Eukaryota; Metazoa; Chordata; Actinopteri; Anguilliformes; Anguillidae. The transcript is spliced from 3 exons.